UUUUUUUUGUUUCCUAAUUCUAGAUCAAGCAGAUAAGAAAAUGGGUCCGUACGGUGUUCAUGACUUAGAUGCAGAUUAAAGGACUGAAAUGCAAGAUAAGUUUAAGAAGGUGUAGUUGUUAGAUCUAUAUGUACACAUUCAAAGGUGGGAAGUAAGCAGGCAUCAACAGAGUUCAAUAGGUGUAAAUUUGUGCAAUGAACCAAAAAUUCUUAGGUAAAGUAUAAAUUUUCAGUUUCAAGCAGUGUUUAUGGUACCUUGAUUGUCGAAUGUUUGCUUCCUUUUGCUUCCUAUUAUUGUAGAAGCAACUAUUUUCCUCAUAUCUGAGCUGUUAUUGUUUAUGUUCCUGUGUUUGUUGUGAUUUUAUUUGUAUUAGAAAUAGUUGUAUUCAAAUAGGUUAAGCUUUUAUUGGGUUUUUAGCAUUUAAGAGUGCAGUGUAAUAGUAAUGAUGAAAAGCAAUGAUAUGACUCUUCAUUUUUUAUUGGAAAACAACAAAGCCAAUUAGUUUU
Long non-coding RNA from Ipomoea nil (Japanese morning glory), 506 nucleotides. RefSeq lists it as uncharacterized. The record is from RefSeq and is a predicted model, not a curated record. The transcript has 2 exons. Lineage: Eukaryota; Viridiplantae; Streptophyta; Magnoliopsida; Solanales; Convolvulaceae.